AACGUAGGACGCGAGCGUUAUCCGGAGUUACUGGGCGUAAAGCGCGGGCAGGCGGUCUGACAAGUCUGAUGUGAAAUCUCCGGGCUUAACCGGGAGAGGCCAUUGGAAGCUGACAGGCUGGAGGGCAGUAGAGGUAGGCGGAAUUCCGGGUGGAGUGGUGAAAUGCGUAGAGAUCCGGAGGAACACCAGAGGCGAAGGCGGCCUACUGGGCUGCACCUGACGCUGAGCCGCGAAAGCCAGGGGAGCGAACGGG
This 253-nucleotide ribosomal RNA is filed under the name uncultured bacterium. RNAcentral describes it as "partial 16S ribosomal RNA". It matches the Rfam family "Bacterial small subunit ribosomal RNA", at positions 524 to 776 of the family's 1533-position model. The record is from RNAcentral.